GGAGAUGUGGCGUAAUGGUAGCGCAGCACCCUGCUAAGGUGUCGUGGUGAAAGCCAUUCCGAGUUCGAGUCUCGGUAUCUCCGA
This 84-nucleotide transfer RNA is filed under the name Herelleviridae sp. RNAcentral's name for it is "tRNA-Ser". It matches the Rfam family "tRNA". Rfam says of the family: Transfer RNA (tRNA) molecules are approximately 80 nucleotides in length. Their secondary structure includes four short double-helical elements and three loops (D, anti-codon, and T loops). The record is from RNAcentral. Lineage: Duplodnaviria; Heunggongvirae; Uroviricota; Caudoviricetes; Herelleviridae.